RNAcentral lists this microRNA precursor (103 nucleotides) under Marmota monax (woodchuck). The record is from RNAcentral. Lineage: Eukaryota; Metazoa; Chordata; Mammalia; Rodentia; Sciuridae.
AGUGGGAUAACUGGGUCAAGUGGUGGUUCCAUUCCAAGUUUUCUGAGGAAUCUCCAUACUGCUUUUCAGGGUGGUUGCACCAAUUUGUAGUCCCACCAGCAAU